RNAcentral lists this ribosomal RNA (506 nucleotides) under uncultured bacterium. RNAcentral's name for it is "bacterial SSU rRNA". It matches the Rfam family "Bacterial small subunit ribosomal RNA", at positions 29 to 527 of the family's 1533-position model. The record is from RNAcentral.
AUUGAACGCUGGCGGCGUGCCUAACACAUGCAAGUCGAGCGGUAACAGGUGUAGCAAUACAUGCUGACGAGCGGCGGACGGGUGAGUAACGCUUGGGAAUCUGCCUAUUAGUGGGGGACAACCCGGGGAAACUCGGGCUAAUACCGCAUACGCUCUACGGAGGAAAGCCGGGGACCGCAAGGCCUGGCGCUAAUAGAUGAGCCCAAGUCGGAUUAGCUAGUUGGUAGGGUAAUGGCCUACCAAGGCGACGAUCCGUAACUGGUCUGAGAGGACGACCAGUCACACCGGAACUGAGACACGGUCCGGACUCCUACGGGAGGCAGCAGUGGGGAAUAUUGGACAAUGGGCGAAAGCCUGAUCCAGCGACGCCGCGUGGGUGAAGAAGGCCUGCGGGUUGUAAAGCCCUUUCAGUGGGGAAGAAAAGCCUCGACCUAACACGUCGGGGUCUUGACGUAACCCAUAGAAGAAGCACCGGCUAACUCUGUGCCAGCAGCCGCCGCAGUAAG